UUACCCAUCGCUACUUUGCAGAGAAUGAUCUUGCUAAGCUAAUCGGCCAAUGGCGAGACAGCCAAAUGUAUUAAAUGCGGCAAAACAUAGCAAACAAGUUCGAAUAAUACUAACUUGUCUUGCCACGUAAAGAGGAUAAAUCCUAAUAAACAGUCAGUGAAUUGCCACAAAGGCAACAGCCGUCAAUUGUGUCAUAUAUUGGGAAAAUUAUGAAAUGUCGAACCGAAAACUACUACAUUGGUUCAGACAUGCGCUGAAUCGGAUUUCGAAUUGCACAACGCUGUUUUGGCCACUGAAAGUUCAUCGACGAAACAAAUUUUCUGAAAAUUUUCAAACUCAAUAUGCACAGCAAUUGAGGAAUGGGGAGUUUUAGGAAAUGUCACUGCUAUGAUAACAGAUAACGCCAAAAAUAUGAUAAGGUCAUGUGAGAUUUUGCAAAUAAUACCCUGCUUUGCGCAUUCAAUUAAUUUGACAGUCCAGGAUUGUUUGGUAUCCGAGAACAUGAAACCACCCAUUUCUGAAAAGUGUAAGCGCAUUGUUUCGUUGUUCAACAGUAGCACAUUUGCGUAUGCAGUAUUUAGAGAGGCUAAGGAUUGCAAACGCCCAUAUGGUUCGAAACAAGAGUGUCCAUCCUGUUGGAAUAGUGCCUUUUAAAUGGUAAACAGGGUUAAUGCCGCUAACAUCGAAUGAAAUAUCCAUUUUGAAGGGUUUGAAGGCAAUACUUUCACCCUUGGAGCAUGCAACGGUAUUCCCUUCGAGAACGUCAGUGACAGUGAUUCCGGUUAAUUGUGUUAUUUUACACAAUAUGUCAGCCAUGAAAACUACGCUCCAGAAUAAGUUGGGUCGAGAUGUCUGUUAUGACAUACUUUCAACGGGUCAAUAAAAGAUUGGUCCCUUAUAAAAACCGUACAGUGACACGAAUGAUAAGACCCUCGCUUUAAAAAGGAAGGAUUUUGGAAUUAUUAUUUCUUACAAGGAGUUGAAUUGUUAGAGGAGGAACUGUCGCUUAUCAAUGCUCCAACAAAAUCGUCUACAUCUUCAAGCCCGCCAAUACCAGAAUCCAGAGCAGAGUGAAGCCUGUACAAAACCCUUUCCAAUAGAAGCUUUCAACAGAUAUCAAAUGACACUGCAUUCAGUCAAUGCGAUUUGAAAUACAAGGCACGACUUGUGAGCGAAAAGGGAAGCGAAGCUUUAUAUGAUCUUAUUUUUAAACAAAAACAAGAGAAAAUGCUGUGGUCGAGUUCCGCGACUAUCAGAUACCCAUUACUCAGCUAGUGUGAAUGCGAACGCGAAAUUUCAUAAUUUUUCUGAGAUAUUGAUGAAAAAAGAAAAAGAGUAUACAAAUUGUUUAAAAUUGUGGGCCGGUUUUGCGGCAUUAGCUCAUCAUAAAUUUUUGUUAUUAUUUUUAUCGCUCUUAUACAUUGCUCUGUGCAGCAAUAGAUUUUGCAUUCCCCCUUAUGCUAUGUUCCUCUCUCUCAAUAGAGAUCUGUUUUAAUCUUUAUACUGUAGAACUUGCCCAUUUUCCUUCCGUUACAAAUUAAGUUGAUCGCACCGGUACUGCUGUGAUACACUUUAACUUUUAAUCGGUUCGGUACGGGCACUGCUGCCGUUCGUUAUACCCUUCAUCCCUGUGUUGCAAAAUAUAUUUAAAUAAAACUGAAAUAUUAAUUUAAACAUUAA
Long non-coding RNA from Drosophila mauritiana, 1680 nucleotides. RefSeq lists it as uncharacterized. The record is from RefSeq and is a predicted model, not a curated record. The transcript is spliced from 2 exons. NCBI's taxonomy places the organism in Eukaryota, Metazoa, Arthropoda, Insecta, Diptera, Drosophilidae.